AUGUUUGCAAAUAUUUCUCCCUUAUUAUUUAUUUUAGUGUUCAACUUGCCCUUGUUGACCUUUAAAAGAAAGUUUUCAAGUUGUUUGAAAGUUGUUUUCUUUAGACCUACCAUGUACUUGCUGGCACUUGUCAAGAGCUGUGAAGACAUAAGACAUAAGACAGGGUCCUUGCCCUUUUUGCCCUGGGAGACUCAAGCUUGCAGAGAUCCAGCCAGUCUCUGCUGGGUUGCCCACACAGGCCACCACUCAGCCCUGCCUCUUUUCCUGGACAGAAACAAGCCUUUUCUGCUCCUCUUACCCAUGAAGCUGAAAUAUUCUUCAGAGAAGCCAGCAGAAGGGGAAACCCAAAGCAAAGACACCAACAGGGACUCUCAGCGCUGGAAAGAAAGGGCUCAGCCGUGGGAGCCCCCGCAGAGCUCCCUGGAGCCCUGACCUGUUUCCAGGCUAUGCUGUGUUCAGGCUCUGAGCUCAGCUCCCUCCCCUGUGAGAUGAUCCAGAGCAUAGCCUGCAUGUGCGCGUGGCCAUAUGGGACCAUUUGGUGAGACUUGGAUUCUGAAGUCAGGAGGCAUGGCGCACAGUAGGUGUUCAACAGACAACAAUCCCCUUCCUGCUGCUUCACUGCCCGUGUGGGUUUAGGGUCUCCACCUGAGUGCUCAGGCGCUGGGAGCCCACCGGUGGAUCUGAGUCCCCAGCUGGCUAUGCCUGGGGAACUAACCUAGCCGGAGAGGCCCGCCGUCUCCUUUUAGUGACAUGGGCUUGGCCACGGUUGUUACAUGGGAGGGCCGUUAGGGGCUGUAUGACUGGAUAGGAGCAAAGCAUUUAGCGCAGUGACUGGCAUAGAGUUGGUGCUCAGAAAAUGCCAGUGGCUCUGUGGUUAAUUUUUAUCCCGUACACCCACACACCAGCACACAGCUCUCCUCCUUAAUGCUAGAGCCAGAAACACCGUGACCCCAGGAAGAGCCAGGUCGGGGUACAGCCUCAGCCCGAACCCUCAGAAGCUGCUUCAUCAACCAUAUCUCCCAGCUGAAUCAGCAUCACCUGUGGGACUUUUGGCACCACAGUGACACCCACAAACCCUGCUCUGGGGGGAUGGGGUCAGGUCAAGAAAGGUGCCAAUGAGUUCCCAAGGCAAGAGAAUACUUCCCUCCAAGCCCACCACCCAGGCCCCAGUACACUGCGAGGUGCGUGGAGAGGCAGGCCUGCUCCAUGUGGCCAACCUGUGACCAACGUACCUUGUGGGAAAAUAAAGACUUGGAGCUGCAGCAGCGGGACCUGGGGAAAACCCAGAGACUAUUUCACAGCGAGAAGCCCAGGUUCAGGAGGGGAAGUGACUGUGCCAGGUCACCUGACAGCCGAUGCUAGGUCGAAUCACCUAGUGGUUCUCGUCGCUGCUUUCGCCUCCUGACCAUGAGCCAAGACUUCGAGAGAUCGUCCUUCAUAUACAGACAUGGACAGUUGUAAUCACUCUUGAAAAGGCAUUGUUUCUAUACCCAACUGCUUUUUAAAAAGUCUUUAUUGAAUUCGUUACAAUAUUGUUUCCGUUUUAUGUUUUGGUUUUUUGGCCAUGAGGCAUGUGGGAUCUUAGCCCCCCGGCCAGGGAUCAAACCCACGUCCCCUGCAAGUCCUAACCACUAAACCACCAGAAAAGUCCCUAUACCUGACUUCUGACCAUUCUGUUCCUCAGCUUCUUAUUGUGAUCAACUAUUCAGGGGUGAGAUUCACAUAACAUACCAUUAACCACUCCAGAGUGUACAAUCAAGUGCAUUCACAAUGCUGGGCAACCACCAGCUCUCUCUACUUUCGAAACUUUUUAUCACCCUAUAAAAAGUCCCACACCUGUGAGAUAAUCCUCCAUCCUCCCCCGGGAACCUCUGGCCUGCUUUCUGUCUCUGUGGGCCUUCUGGAGGCAUCAUAUAAAAGGAAUCACACAACGUGUGGCCUUUGGUGUCUGACUUCUGGCAUUUGGUAUAAUGUUUUGCAGAUUCAUCCGCUUAUAAUAUGCAUCAGUGCUUCAUUCCUUUUACGGCUACCUCAUAUUCUACCGUUAUAGAUAUGCUAUUCAUCCUGGAUGGACAUUUGGACUGCUUUGUCAUUUCUGAACAUACAGGAAGACUGAAAAAAUCGUGCGAUGAGCACUCCUUUUCCCAUACCCCUGACUCAGCAACAGAGUCUGGACUAGAGCGAGAUCAGCAAGGUGUUUUGUCGGGGCGUUGAAGGAAGGGCUUGCUUCCAGCAUCUGCAGGGGUGGGUGGACCUUGAGAGGCAUGACCCCCUCAAGGCAGCCCCUGAGGCAUGUUGCCAGCCUCAUUCUGGUCCUGGCCCUGUUGAACCAUUUUAAUCUGUUGCCAUGCUUGCAUUGGCUGUCAAGGGACCUGGUGCAUAUUUGAAGAUGGAUUAUGGACCACAUGACACUUUACUCCUCAGUUGCUCAGCUCCCAAGGACGAUGUGCAUAGUAAAAAACCCAUUCCCCACCGUGAUUUCAUGUCACCUCCACCUUCCAACCAUAGUCACAUUUCCCAAAGGCUCCAAGUUCUUCUCUCAUAGAUCUUUUGCUUAAAUGGUUGGUUUAUUUUCACAACCAACUAAGCAAAUGAUCUAUGAAAGAUGUUGUUUGGGGGCUUCCCUAGUGGCUCAGAUGGUAAAGAAUCUGCCUGCAAUGCACAAGACCCAGGUUCAAUCCCUGGAUUGGGAAGAUCCCCUGGAGAAGGGAAUGGCUACCCACUCCAGUAUCCUUGCCUGGAGAAUUCUAUGGACAGAGGAGACUGGUUGGCUACAGUCCAUAGGGUCAUAAGGAGUCAGGUAUGACUGAGUGACUUUCACUGUCCCUGUUUCUUUUAGUUUGUUUUUAACAGGAUCUAAUGGAGCUUCCCACAUCACAUGUGGAUACUGUGUCUCUUUCACAUUAAAAUGGCCAGGGUUUCCCCCUCUGCCCCAUGGCAUAGGCCUUUUAAAGAGUGCCUUUUUAUACAGAGUGAAGUCAGUGAAAAAGAAAAAACCAAUACAGUAUAUUGAUGCAUAUAUAUGGAAUUUAGAAAGAUGGUAACAACGACCCUAUAUGCAAGAUAGCAAAAGAGACACAGAUAUAAAGAACAGACUCUUGGACUCUGUGGGAGAAGGUGAGGAUGGGAUGAUUUGAGAGAAUAGCAUUAAAACAUGUAUAUUACCAUGUGUGAAAUAGAUGACAGGCUCAGUUUGAUGCAUGAAACAGGGCACCCAAAGCUGGUGCACUGGGAUGACUCAGAGGGAUGGGAUAGGGAGAGGGGUGGGAGGGGGGUCCAGGAUGGCGGGACACAUGUACACCCGUGACUGAUUCAUGUCAAUGUAGGAGGCAAAAACCACCACAAUAUUGUAAAAUAAUUAGCCUCCAAUUAAAAUAAAUAAAUUAAUUUUUUUUAAAAAAGAGUCCAAACCUUAGAGUCUCUUAGAAUGGCCCGCACCAUGGAUUUGCGUGACUGUUUUCUCCUGAUGUUAUUUAACUUGUGCUUCUGUCGCCUGUAGAUCCCGUGACUUGGGAUUUGGGGCUGGAAAUUAAACAUGCUGGCAAGAAUACUCCACAGGUAAGGUGUGCUCUGCACGUCGUCUCACGUCGGGAAGCCUGUGAUGCCAGGUGGUCCUGCUAUGAAUGGAUGAUGCUAAAUUUGGCCAGUCGGAUAAAUGCAUGGCCACCAUAGUUGUCUGUUAUAAUGGCCAUUUUUCCUUUUGUAAUCAGUAAGCAAGCUGGGGAGACUCUUUGCGGCUGCACAAAUAUCCUGUUCCCCAACAACCCUUCACUCACUGGCCUUUAACACCCGUUAAUGAUUCCUGCUCAAAUCACAAAUUACACUGGAGGCUGUGAAAGGUGUGAAAGGUUGUGAAAGGUGACUUUCUUUUCUUUUUUUUUUUUUUUUUGAAAGGUGACUUUCUAGCCUUAUCAUUUCUUCCACAGGUCUCAGCUGGCAUUCUUUUGAAAAGAAGAGCUCCCCUCUUCUCCUUCACCCUCUCUUUCUCUUACACACACACACACACACACACACUGAAUUCAUGGAUUUUUCUAUUUGUUUCAUAUAAAGUUUCAAGCAAAGUUUCUACUUGUUUCACUGAUGAUAGCCAUUUUUCUUCCUGAUGCUCAGAAGCCUCAAAUUUGGCCAAAGGAUCCCUUCAAGUCUACUUCUGCACCUUUCUGACAUGACUUCACUAGUGUUUAAGCACAUCCUCGCUUCUUGGGAAAGAUUGAAGGCAGGAGAAGAAGGGGGUGACAGAGGAUGAGACAGCUGGAUGGCAUCACUGACUCAAUGGACAUGAGUUUGAACAAGCUCUGGGAGUUGGUGAUGGACAGGGAAGCCUGGCGUGAUGCAGUCCAUGGGGUGGCAAAGAGCUGGACACAACUGAGCAACUGAACUGAACUUGCUUCUUGGAACAAUAAGAUGUCCUAAACUUACCUUGUACUUUCCUUUCCUCGAGUCUGGAAUCAACUGCUUCUCCGGAAAGGUGUAGUUCUUUUUGAUGGUUAGUGGUCUUAGAAAUCAAGACUGAACCCUGGGUGGUCUCAUUGCUCCUGGAGUUCUUGCUUCUGAGCUCUUUCAGUGGACAAAGGUGGGGAAACUGAAAUCAGUUUAUAAUAUUAUCAGUUCAAAUUUAACCAUCUAUUUCUUCUCUUAACUUUUUUGCUGUUGCUAAUUUAUAUUUGAAUCUCAUUUCUCUCACACAGACUUAGUUUCUAACAGUAUUAACAUACAUAUUUAUUUACUUGAUUUUAUGAUAUACGUAAAAUACUUCCAAAAU
This 4762-nucleotide long non-coding RNA is filed under the name Ovis aries (sheep). Its description in RNAcentral is "lncRNA (ENSOARG00000026696.1)". The stretch from base 2622 to 2693 matches the Rfam family "tRNA". The record is from RNAcentral. Lineage: Eukaryota; Metazoa; Chordata; Mammalia; Artiodactyla; Bovidae.